GAAAUGCGAUAAGUAGUGUGAAUUGCAGAAUUCAGUGAAUCAUCGAAUCUUUGAACGCACAUUGCGCCCCUUGGUAUUCCAUGGGGCAUGCCUGUUCGAGCGUCAUUUGUACCCUCAAGCUCUGCUUGGUGUUGGGUGCUUGUCCCCGUCUCCGCGCGUGGACUCGCCCCAAAGUGAUUGGCAGCCGGCGUACUGAUCCCGGAGCGCAGCACAUGUCGCGCAAACGAGUGCCUUGGUACGGCGGCGUCCAUAAGCCCCUCUCUCACGCUCUUGACCUCGGAUCAGGUAGGGAUACCCGCUGAACUUAAGC
Molecule: unclassified non-coding RNA, 310 nt
Filed under: plant metagenome
Description: partial contains 5.8S ribosomal RNA, internal transcribed spacer 2, and large subunit ribosomal RNA
Rfam family: 5.8S ribosomal RNA (bases 1-105)
Source: RNAcentral